Molecule: microRNA precursor, 74 nt
Filed under: Bombyx mori (domestic silkworm)
Lineage: Eukaryota; Metazoa; Arthropoda; Insecta; Lepidoptera; Bombycidae
Description: mir-2816 microRNA precursor family
Rfam family: mir-2816 microRNA precursor family
Source: Rfam by way of RNAcentral
CUCAACUCUACUCGAGUGAGGUAGAAACGUGGUAUUGCGUCAACAUGACGUCAUCCGUUUGAGAAUAUUUUGAU